RNAcentral lists this ribosomal RNA (253 nucleotides) under uncultured bacterium. Its description in RNAcentral is "partial 16S ribosomal RNA". It matches the Rfam family "Bacterial small subunit ribosomal RNA", at positions 524 to 776 of the family's 1533-position model. The record is from RNAcentral.
UACGUAGGGGGCAAGCGUUGUCCGGAAUCAUUGGGCGUAAAGAGCGUGUAGGCGGCCCGAUAAGUCCGCCGUGAAAGUCCAGGGCUCAACCCUGGAAUGCCGGUGGAAACUGUCGGGCUGGAGUCCGGAAGAGGCGAAUGGAAUUCCUGGUGUAGCGGUGAAAUGCGCAGAUAUCAGGAGGAACACCAAUGGCGAAGGCAGCUCGCUGGGACGGUACUGACGCUGAGACGCGAAAGCGUGGGGAGCAAACAGG